UGGGGAAUAUUGCACAAUGGGCGCAAGCCUGAUGCAGCCAUGCCGCGUGUAUGAAGAAGGCCUUCGGGUUGUAAAGUACUUUCAGCGGGGAGGAAGGCGAUAAGGUUAAUAACCUUGUCGAUUGACGUUACCCGCAGAAGAAGCACCGGCUAACUCCGUGCCAGCAGCCGCGGUAAUACGGAGGGUGCAAGCGUUAAUCGGAAUUACUGGGCGUAAAGCGCACGCAGGCGGUCUGUCAAGUCGGAUGUGAAAUCCCCGGGCUCAACCUGGGAACUGCAUUCGAAACUGGCAGGCUAGAGUCUUGUAGAGGGGGGUAGAAUUCCAGGUGUAGCGGUGAAAUGCGUAGAGAUCUGGAGGAAUACCGGUGGCGAAGGCGGCCACCUGGACAAAGACUGACGCUCAGGUGCGAAAGCGUGGGGAGCAAACA
This 427-nucleotide ribosomal RNA is filed under the name uncultured bacterium. Its description in RNAcentral is "partial 16S ribosomal RNA". It matches the Rfam family "Bacterial small subunit ribosomal RNA", at positions 355 to 774 of the family's 1533-position model. The record is from RNAcentral.